AAUUCAUCUUGCGUGUGUAGUGCAUACACAUGAGGUGUGCACACACCCAUGUACACAUAUGCCAUCAUCUGUGUGCAUAAGCAUACUCAGGGGUUAACACCAAAGAUCAUCUUUCCGGAGGGCCAUUUUACUGGAAAGCUUGAAGACAGCUGUGGUGGGAUUUGCUUCACAUUAAACCCAGUUUAGAGGAGAAUGCAAAGUCGCCAGGUAUGCUGUUAAAGCAGGGCAUGUCAAAGUAAUAUCUUGCUUGGUUGCCACUUUGAACUGCUUUCUCUUUAUAUUGUUGAAGCAGAUUUUUUCCCUCCGCCGUUAAAGGUAUUGAUUGUAAGUGCUUGAGAAGCACUUGUCACAAAGUACCUCUGCUCCUACUCCCAUUUAUUUAGUUGUAGCUUUCAAAACACAGAGAAAUAACUGUUGUUUUAUUUUUAUAUAACAGCACUUUAAAAUAUUUCUUUUAUGCUGUUCCUAAACAAUGUCAUAAAGUCAUCUCCAUUAGACAUUUUUCUGCUUAUUUCAAACAUCAAAAAUUA
This 530-nucleotide long non-coding RNA is filed under the name Macaca mulatta (Rhesus monkey). RNAcentral describes it as "lncRNA (ENSMMUG00000052241.1)". Lineage: Eukaryota; Metazoa; Chordata; Mammalia; Primates; Cercopithecidae. The record is from RNAcentral.